AAGCUGUUCCGGAUUAUCAAUUGCAUAAUCUUAAAGUCUCUAAGUCUCAACCCAAGUCUUUUUUUACCACGGAAUGCUUUGCUCUUGAAUUUGGUUGUCAAUCACAGUGUCAUGCAAAUAGUAGAGGCCCUGGAAGAGAAUACACAGGAUAGACGCCUUGUGUCUCUGCUCGACAAAUACCAUGAGUCCCAAUCUCCCAGAGGUAAAUUUGCUCGUGUUAUAUAUAGGAAAGCUUUUAUGGAGAAGAAUAUCAUGUCAAUGGCUCGUGAGUUGAAAAGUUUCGAGCAGAGCUUCUGAAAGUGGUAAGUGAUUCAACAAUCUAUUGAACAUCCUUGUUGAUCUGCUGGUUGAUCCUCGAUGCUGCUUCUCGAUGAUACUGUUGCUCAAUGGCAAUGCUGCUACUACUCGUGUCGAUCAAAAAAUCAUUUCAGGCUUAUAACUGUCAACAAUCUGAAUAUAAUACUGUCAAUAGCAAAAUAUGAUUGUCAUAGUGUUAUACUGUUAAUCAGUUGUAAAACUACUUAAGUUAUAAGCAUUAUAUGGUUCUCCUUGUUAAAUACAUUGUAGUUAUCAUAUUUUAUAUUGUCAUAAACAAAAUUUUGAUUGUCAUAAGCAAAAUUUUAUUAAUUGUUACUUAUAUUGCCUUAAGCGACAAAACGGCACGUUCUCAUUGUAAAAAAAAACCUUGUAAUUAUAUUUGGUUUUAAUGAUAUCAUAAAAAGUUUGUUAGUAAUAAUUUUUUCCCAUUAUGUGGCAAGAUUUCUUAAUAAUAUAUGCCAAUUUAUGUUAGCUUAGUUAUGAUUAUAAAAUCCAUAUAUGAUUACUCAUUAUAAUCCAACAUAGUUAUAAUCCAUUUACAAGAGCAUAUCUUAAUUACCCUUGUAAAGAAGUCAUCAUAAUUACCCUUCAAAUCUUCAUAAGUUGAGAAAGUAGUAAUGGAGUGUAAUACUCCAUUUGAUAAUACAUAACAAAGGAACGGGGGUCAUUUACUCAUUUAGUAACGGUGUAGGACCCAGACUACAUUACAAAGCAGGAUGCGGGUGGGACCAGAGCCAAAAUAAUAAAAUACAAAAAAGGCAAGAUAAUAAUAAUAAUAAAAAAUAAAAAAUAAAAAAUAAAUAAAAAAAAGAAAAAACAAAAGGAUACGGUAAUUGAAGGGGAAAAAAAUUACCUCUUUUCUCUCUCCUUUGCCAAUCUUUUCUCUUUGCCUCAUUCCAGCUCUCUCCUUAAACUUGAA
This is a long non-coding RNA of Chenopodium quinoa (quinoa), 1237 nucleotides long. RefSeq lists it as uncharacterized. Lineage: Eukaryota; Viridiplantae; Streptophyta; Magnoliopsida; Caryophyllales; Amaranthaceae. The record is from RefSeq and is a predicted model, not a curated record. The transcript has 4 exons.